GCUGUAAUGUGUCAUCACCAUGCUCCAAUGUGAUAUCACAAUGCCUAGUGUGCCAAAACAAUGCAUCAAUGUGUCAUCACAAUGCCCCCAUAUGCCACCACAAUG
RNAcentral lists this microRNA precursor (105 nucleotides) under Nannospalax galili (Upper Galilee mountains blind mole rat). Its description in RNAcentral is "miRNA (ENSNGAG00000005861.1)". The record is from RNAcentral. Lineage: Eukaryota; Metazoa; Chordata; Mammalia; Rodentia; Spalacidae.